AAAGCAUUUCAAGUAUUACAGCUGGCGACGGUGCAGAACCGAUCGAAAUACGUGUAAUCAGAAAAUGGCUUUCAUUUGUCUACAAAGAGGAGUACUGCUUCUUAUUUGUUGACAGAGAGGGUACUGCAAUUGAAGCUAUCGGUAGCAAACGUGAUAAAGCAUUCCUGGAUGCCAAGCUUGUGUUGCAAUCAUGUUACCGUGUGACAAAUUAUUUGUCUGCCAGAGCAAGGCAGAGCCAUAAUGUCGUACCACGUGCAGCUACCAUCAAACUUGGACGGGGAACUCACUUUACACCUAUAGAUGACUCUGCUUUCCCUACUAACUACUUCAACUUUAUCCCGUUUAACAGGCUGCGAGACCGUGAGGGUAAUCAUUUUCUGCUCACAGACUACAUUGGCAGGUUUGAUACUAUUACUUCUGAUGGUCCAACAAAAACAAACAAGCGACUGAUGAAGCUUUUAGUUGAAGAAGACAG
Helianthus annuus (common sunflower) is the source of this 475-nucleotide long non-coding RNA. RefSeq lists it as uncharacterized. The transcript has 3 exons. The record is from RefSeq and is a predicted model, not a curated record. NCBI's taxonomy places the organism in Eukaryota, Viridiplantae, Streptophyta, Magnoliopsida, Asterales, Asteraceae.